GUAGGUGGCAAGCGUUGUCCGGAAUUAUUGGGGCGUAAAGCGCGCGCAGGCGGUCCUUUUAAGUCUGAUGGUGAAAAGCCCCACGGGCUCAACCGUGGGAGGGUCAUUGGAAACUGGGGGACUUGAGUGCAGAAGAGAAGAGUGGAAUUUCCACGUGUAGCGGUGAAAUGCGUAGAGAUGUGGAGGAACACCAGUGGCGAAGGCGACUCUUUGGUCUGUAACUGGCGCUGAGGCGCGAAAGCGUGGGGAGCAAACAGGAUUAGAUACCCUGGUAGUCCACGCCGUAAACGAUGAGUGCUAAGUGUUUAGAGGGUUUCCGCCCUUUAGUGCUGCAGCAAACGCAUUAAGCACUCCGCCUGGGGAGUACGGCCGCAAAGGCUG
RNAcentral lists this ribosomal RNA (381 nucleotides) under uncultured organism. RNAcentral describes it as "partial 16S ribosomal RNA". It matches the Rfam family "Bacterial small subunit ribosomal RNA", at positions 527 to 896 of the family's 1533-position model. The record is from RNAcentral.